This is a non-coding RNA of Aegilops tauschii subsp. strangulata, 2332 nucleotides long. The record is from RefSeq and is a predicted model, not a curated record. Lineage: Eukaryota; Viridiplantae; Streptophyta; Magnoliopsida; Poales; Poaceae.
ACUCCCGAUCUAGGUUAUUUUCUGGAGGUUUCAGUAUUUAUAGGAAUUUUUGGCGUCGGGAACAAGUCAGGGAGGCGCCCGAGUCGUCCACGAGGUAGGUCGGCGCGCCCACCCGUGGACGGCCCGGGACUCUUCUGGCCCAACUCUUUUACUCCGGGGGGGGGGGGUCUUCUUUUGGUCUAUAAAAAAUCGUCAAAAAUUGGCACGUCCAUUGGACUCCGUUUGGUAUUCCUUUUCUUUAAAACUCAAAAACAAGGAAAAACAGAAACUGACACUGGGCUCUAGGUUAAUAGGUUAGUCCCAAAAAUCAUAUAAAAUAGCAUAUAAAUGCAUAUAAAACAUCCAAGGUUGAUAAUAUAAUAGCAUGAAACAAUCAAAAAUUAUAGAUACGUUGGAGACGUAUCAAGUAGCAAGAUGAGGCAGCGACCAGCAACAGCUGCACUACGGGGCGGCGUUAGCGAGUAGCAGCAGUAAGGCGAGGCAGUGGUGAGCAGCGGAACAACCAUGCAAACUGUAAGAAGAAUGAAGCAGCGAUAGCAACAUAUGGUGAAUCAUCAGGUAUCACUUCUUUCAUAUGCCUUAUGUUUGAGCAUGAUUAGGAGCUAGCUUGAGAAGAGAAGUUCGUGCACAUCCUUCUAACUCUAAUGUAUGAUGGUAAUUGCUUCAGUUCACAUUUUUUCCAGUUUACAGAUACCCAUGAGAUGAAAUACCAUGCUAUCUUUUAGUCAGAUAAAUUGUUGAUAUGUGCCAAAUUAUACAUGGUAAGAUUGGUACUUUUUUGUUGACGUAUAUUAUUAGCAAGCUCUUCUUAUAAAUAUGAUUUCUCAAUUUGUAGUAAUACAUCCCAUGCAAGAUUACUCUUGUCCGGUGUGUUAUAAUUAAUUGCAAUAUAAAACAUUUUGGCUGCUAUGUUGUCUGCUCUAUAGUUGGAUAUGGCCGGCUAUGCUAUAUCUGUUUAGGAAGGUUGAGCACAAAGUAAGAAAAUACUACUUUCAUCAUAAAAUUAGUUGCUUAAAAUAUUAGUGUAUCAUGAUCUUAAAAAGGUGUAUCAUUUGUGAUAUAUGUACUAUUUUUAAAUUGUCACAAAGUAUAUGCAUACACUAUUCAUUCAUCCAUCUAGAUCUAAUGUAUCUUUUCAUGUCCCUGCAAAAGAGCUUAUCAGUAUGUGUGUUCUGGUUAUAUAUCAACAAAAAUAGCAGAGGAAUCGAUGGCAAAAAUAAGGAACAAUAUUCUUCUUAUUUCCAAGAAAGGCAUUUAGUUGAUUCAUGUCAGUUCUUGGAACUAAAGCAUCAUACAAUGAUAGAUAGGCUCCUCAUUUCAAAAGGAUUAAAUGAGUCUAGAUGGUCAUGGCUUGUCGUCCGUCUUGAAGUGGAUUCAGAGCCCGGUAGGAUCGCACACCGUAUGGCUUGUACAUCGGAAGAAGAUACAAGAUUGGUAGUGAUAUUACUUGCCUCAGUGCUCAAUUUAUAUUUUAUGAUCCUAUUAAUUUGAACUUAUUUACUUGGUUGUCUCAGCUAAUUUAUUUGUCCUCAAAUGCAGACAAGCAUUCGGUCGAAAAACUCAAAUUAUUCCAUCGAUAGAAUAACAUGAAGAACAAGUACUGGGAUGACAUGGUUGUUACUACAAUAGUAAAAGGCCAAGUCACGGGAGGAGAGAUGCUCAGCGUGUAUGAUGGACAUGGUGGCUCGGAGGUGAGGUUAUCUUCUCUUGAAAAUCUUGACCCACAAAAGAAAUUAACCUUGACGCCGUGGGAACCAGGAAAGCCUAGAUCACGAAUGGCCCCACAAUUUGGUAGUGUUUGUGUGUUGUGCAGUCAAACCUUUCUACGGGCUCCAUGGCGAUGCAGCAGUAUCACCUUCUCAGGGAGAUGAGACGAUGGGAUGUGGCCUCGUCAUGCUACCUGUUCUUGUUGUGCUAGCUUUGUUGUGUGUGUGUGUGUGUGUGUGUGUCUGUGUGUGUGUGUGUGUGUGAGAGAGAGAGAGAGAGGGAUGGAGGGCAUUGGUUAAUAGGGGAUGGUUAUGUUGUUGCUAGAUAUGAGCAACAUUCUGUCUAUGUCUUUAGAGAUGCCUUUUGCUUUAGUUUAACUGGGGUGGAGAGUGGGUACUGUUGUGACAAAGUUGCCUGUUACUAGAUUAUCAAACUUGUUGUUUAGGUGAAUAUCUACCGUCGGAAAGAGAGCAAUGGUACUCUGAUUGUACUGUUUUAUGCUCGAUGUUGAAGAAUACUCUUGCAAGCAGUUAGCAACGAGCUGAUGGUGCAUUAUAUUGUAUAGAAGAUUCUUUUGAUCCCACAAUGCCAAUUGUGCAUUUAUUGUUCUAUACCUAUUUUGUCC